AAUGCUGACAUAAGUAACGAUAAAGCGGGUGAAAAGCCCGCUCGCCGGAAGACCAAGGGUUCCUGUCCAACGUUAAUCGGGGCAGGGUGAGUCGACCCCUAAGGCGAGGCCGAAAGGCGUAGUCGAUGGGAAACAGGUUAAUAUUCCUGUACUUGGUGUUACUGCGAAGGGGGGACGGAGAAGGCUAUGUUGGCCGGGCGACGGUUGUCCCGGUUUAAGCGUGUAGGCUGGUUUUCCAGGCAAAUCCGGAAAAUCAAGGCUGAGGCGUGAUGACGAGGCACUACGGUGCUGAAGCAACAAAUGCCCUGCUUCCAGGAAAAGCCUCUAAGCAUCAGGUAACAUCAAAUCGUACCCCAAACCGACACAGGUGGUCAGGUAGAGAAUACCAAGGCGCUUGAGAGAACUCGGGUGAAGGAACUAGGCAAAAUGGUGCCGUAACUUCGGGAGAAGGCACGCUGAUAUGUAGGUGAAGUCCCUCGCGGAUGGAGCUGAAAUCAGUCGAAGAUACCAGCUGGCUGCAACUGUUUAUUAAAAACACAGCACUGUGCAAACACGAAAGUGGACGUAUACGGUGUGACGCCUGCCCGG
RNAcentral lists this ribosomal RNA (588 nucleotides) under Escherichia coli. RNAcentral describes it as "partial 23S ribosomal RNA". It matches the Rfam family "Bacterial large subunit ribosomal RNA", at positions 1293 to 1866 of the family's 2925-position model. The record is from RNAcentral. Lineage: Bacteria; Pseudomonadati; Pseudomonadota; Gammaproteobacteria; Enterobacterales; Enterobacteriaceae.